AAUUUUCAAUCUUUCCGUUUCUUUAUUCUUAAUUGAGAAAAACCGCCGUGGACAAAGACCUGAGCAAUGCAGUUAACUGUGCAGUAUAACCCCGAACUGAAUCAUAACCAGAAACCCGUCUCUGUUUAAGCAUCGAUCAAUGUCCCUCUUAAACCAACUCUUCAACAGAGGCGUUUUUGGUUCUAAAUGCAAAACAUGCUUGAACUUGGCAAUCUCGCGCAUUAAAUUGCAGCAAAAUAAGAGAGAUUUGCAGCUUAAACAUAUGCGCAAGGAGAUUGCGCAAUUUCUUCAGGCUGGACAAGAAGCAAUGGCUCGAAUUCGAGUGGAACAUGUAACAAGGGAAAAGAAUAUAUGGGCUGCAUAUGAAAUAUUGGAGCUGUUCUUCUAGUUUGUACUUGCGCGUGUUCCCAUUCUUGAAAGUCAGUGAUGUCAAGUAUAUGGAGACAUGUGCUGGAACUGGGUUGGAUUAUCAAAUGUAGCAGUAAUGUGGAUCUAAGGGUGGAUCAAAGCAGAUUGUGGCUGAAGCCACAUUUCCUCAAGCUCCUACCAAACAGAGCUCUCCUCUAUCUCCACUUUCCAAUGGGGUCCAUCGUACCAUAAUAUGGAUAGCAAACAAGGAUCUCAUCAUCUUCAAGCUUCUGGCACUGUGAGCAAUAUGCCCCAGGUCACUUCUAACAAAAUUGAACCAUCAAUCAGGUAUCAUAAUGCCGGACCAUUGACUGAUGGUAAUAGGGAGACAACACCACAAGCAACUAGAUAGCUUGAGCCGCCAUUGCAUAAGCAGAGCUGCCGAACUUGUAAAUGUUAAAUUUGGCUCAUUUAGGUUAGGUGAAGGCAAGUUAUCGUUAUUCCAUAAUCGACCUUUGAUUAUAAAAUUAUAUCUCAAGAUCACACAAUCAAGCAUGCCAAAACAGAAACCAAAAGAAAAUGUACAUUAUUUCACUAUGUAAAAACACAAUCUUACAAAAACUGGAAACUACCAAGAGUUUCAUAUUGGUAAUAUUUUUAUACCACCAUGAUCUUCGCUGAAAUACCAAGAAACCCCACGAUUGUAUCAACUUCUUCUAAGAUUUCAAUUCAUAUGUUUUCUGCACA
Molecule: long non-coding RNA, 1095 nt
Organism: Populus euphratica (Euphrates poplar)
Lineage: Eukaryota; Viridiplantae; Streptophyta; Magnoliopsida; Malpighiales; Salicaceae
Exons: 6
Source: RefSeq, a predicted model, not a curated record